RNAcentral lists this ribosomal RNA (472 nucleotides) under Centipeda dianae. RNAcentral's name for it is "bacterial SSU rRNA". It matches the Rfam family "Bacterial small subunit ribosomal RNA", at positions 28 to 474 of the family's 1533-position model. The record is from RNAcentral. Lineage: Bacteria; Bacillati; Bacillota; Negativicutes; Selenomonadales; Selenomonadaceae.
GACGAACGCUGGCGGCGUGCUUAACACAUGCAAGUCGAACGGAGCGAAUGAAAGCUUGCUUUUAUGAGCUUAGUGGCAAACGGGUGAGUAACACGUAGACAACCUGCCGACAGGAUGGGGACAACAUUCCGAAAGGAAUGCUAAUACCGAAUGAAGCGGAGGAGAGGCAUCUCUCUUCCGUGAAAGAUGGCCUCUUUUUAUGCUAUCACCUGUUGAUGGGUCUGCGUCUGAUUAGCUGGUUGGUGAGGUAACGGCUCACCAAGGCGACGAUCAGUAGCCGGUCUGAGAGGAUGAACGGCCACAUUGGGACUGAGACGCGGCCCAGACUCCUACGGGAGGCAGCAGUGGGGAAUCUUCCGCAAUGGGCGCAAGCCUGACGGAGCAACGCCGCGUGAGUGAAGAAGGUCUUCGGAUCGUAAAGCUCUGUUGACGGGGACGAACGUGCGGAGUGCGAAUAGCGCUUUGUAAGACG